Non-coding RNA from Manis javanica (Malayan pangolin), 889 nucleotides. NCBI's taxonomy places the organism in Eukaryota, Metazoa, Chordata, Mammalia, Pholidota, Manidae. The record is from RefSeq and is a predicted model, not a curated record.
UCUAUGGAAAUAGCGCUGGUGAUUCUCCACUUGCCCCCCAGGGUCACUCUCAGCCUUUCCUCCUGCUCUGGAUCCUGAGAGAGUGCCCUGUGUGGGCUCCAUCCACGAGGGUCCCUUGCCUCCGCCUUCUGGUUGGGUUCUGCCAGUCAGAGAGACUGACGUGAAAUCCAAGGGUAGGACAGACAUGAGAGUAUUUAUUUUGCAGCUCCUCCCUGCAGCCCCGCUGUCCGGACCGGAGCUGUGUUCGUCUACCUAGAGUUACAGCACUACAGGCUCCUCCCCAAAUUCUAACUUUCUGCUUUGAGGGUGGUGACGGCUUGGCUUUCUCACUGAGGUUGGUUCCCCGAUGCCGCCCCAUACUUUGUGGGUUCCUUCCCCCUGCCCACCCCUCUAAAAUGUCCCUGGAUAAAUGCUCACACUUAAACUCUGAAUGGCUACCUGUUUCCUGCCAGGACCCUGACUGAAUCACAGCAAAAACUUAAGGAGCCCUGAGCCAGCAGAGGGAAGAGCAAGAGGGACUCCAUUUUAAGUUAACUUCCAUCUUGGGGCUUAAAGGUUAAAAGCGACAUCAAAGAAGGAAGCUUUGACCUUAUGGUGGGAAAGCCAGUGAGUCCAUGUCUCCUGACCACGAAGUGGCGCCACGAGAAGCUGAAUAAUGGAGAUACCAUUAUAAAAUAAUUCAUCAAUCUCCCUCCUCCCAAACCCCUCACCCUCUGAACCUGCCUUUAUAAACCCCACGCUCAACCUCUUAAAGAGCAACAUUCCGCUUUUCUGUCGGUAUGUUGCUAUCUCUAAUAAACUCCACCUGCUUUCUUUCUCUCGCGUUCAGUGUUUAGUUCUCUAACGUUGAAAUUAAAGAACCUGGUCUUUGGGGGUCCGGUAACAAGAG